This 380-nucleotide ribosomal RNA is filed under the name uncultured eukaryote. Its description in RNAcentral is "partial 18S ribosomal RNA". It matches the Rfam family "Eukaryotic small subunit ribosomal RNA", at positions 592 to 976 of the family's 1831-position model. The record is from RNAcentral.
CAAUAGCGUAUAUUAAAGUUGUUGCAGUUAAAAAGCUCGUAGUUGGAUUUGUGGCGUACGGUGUGUUCCGGGCACUUGUUGUCUGAGUAACCUGCUGUUGCCAUCCUUGGGUGAAACCUGUGUGGCAUUAGGUUGUCGUGCAGGGGAUGCCCAUCAUUUACUGUGAAAAAAUUAGAGUGUUCAAAGCAGGCUUAUGCCGUUGAAUAUAUUAGCAUGGAAUAAUGAGAUAGGACUUUUUUGCUAUUUUGUUGGUUUGCGCAAAGAGGUAAUGAUUAAUAGGGACAGUUGGGGGUAUUCGUAUUCCAUUGUCAGAGGUGAAAUUCUUGGAUUUUUGGAAGACGAACUACCGCGAAAGCAUUUACCAAGGAUGUUUUCAUUAA